CUACGGGAGGCAGCAGUGGGGAAUAUUGCACAAUGGGCGCAAGCCUGAUGCAGCCAUGCCGCGUGUAUGAAGAAGGCCUUCGGGUUGUAAAGUACUUUCAGCGAGGAGGAAGGCRUUAAGGUUAAUAACCUURGYGAUUGACGUUACUCGCAGAAGAAGCACCGGCUAACUCCGUGCCAGCAGCCGCGGUAAUACGGAGGGUGCAAGCGUUAAUCGGAAUUACUGGGCGUAAAGCGCACGCAGGCGGUCUGUCAAGUCGGAUGUGAAAUCCCCGGGCUCAACCUGGGAACUGCAUUCGAAACUGGCAGGCUAGAGUCUUGUAGAGGGGGGUAGAAUUCCAGGUGUAGCGGUGAAAUGCGUAGAGAUCUGGAGGAAUACCGGUGGCGAA
RNAcentral lists this ribosomal RNA (388 nucleotides) under Enterobacter soli. RNAcentral's name for it is "bacterial SSU rRNA". Lineage: Bacteria; Pseudomonadati; Pseudomonadota; Gammaproteobacteria; Enterobacterales; Enterobacteriaceae. The record is from RNAcentral.